CGCCCUUAGAGUUUGAUCCUGGCUCAAGAUAAACGCUGGCGGCGCACAUAAGACAUGCAAGUCGAACGGAAGUCGUUAUAAAACGGAUUGAAGAUUUAUCAGAUUGAAGUUUUAUAACAAUGGCUUUAGUGGCGGACUGGUGAGUAACGCGUAAGGAAUCUACCUGUUAGAGGGGAAUAACAAUGAGAAAUCAUUGCUAAUACCGCAUAUGCUAUAAACAUCGCAUGAUGAAAGUGGGAAAGGAGCAAUCCGCUGAUAGAUGAUCUUGCGUCUGAUUAGUUAGUUGGUGGGGUAAUGGCCUACCAAGACGACGAUCAGUAGCCGGACUGAGAGGUUGAACGGCCACAUUGGGACUGAGAUACGGCCCACACUCCUACGGGAGGCAGCAGUCGGGAAUAUUGCGCAAUGGAGGAAACUCUGACGCAGUGACGCCGCGUGCAGGAAGAAGGUUUUCGGAUUGUAAACUGCUUUAGACAGGGAAGAGAAAGGACAGUACCUGUAGAAUAAGCUCCGGCUAACUACGUGCCAGCAGCCGCGGUAAUACGUAGGGAGCGAGCGUUAUCCGGAUUUAUUGGGUGUAAAGGGUGCGUAGACGGGAAUACAAGUUAGUUGUGAAAUACCUCGGCUUAACUGAGGAACUGCAACUAAAACUAUAUUUCUUGAGUGCAGGAGAGGUAAGUGGAAUUCCUAGUGUAGCGGUGAAAUGCGUAGAUAUUAGGAGGAACACCAGUGGCGAAGGCGACUUACUGGACUGAAACUGACGUUGAGGCACGAAAGUGUGGGGAGCAAACAGGAUUCGAUACCCUGGUAGUCCACACCGUAA
Molecule: ribosomal RNA, 823 nt
Filed under: uncultured bacterium
Lineage: Bacteria
Description: bacterial SSU rRNA
Rfam family: Bacterial small subunit ribosomal RNA
Source: RNAcentral